Molecule: ribosomal RNA, 258 nt
Filed under: uncultured bacterium
Lineage: Bacteria
Description: partial 16S ribosomal RNA
Rfam family: Bacterial small subunit ribosomal RNA
Source: RNAcentral
CGGCACGGGUGAGUAACACGUAUGCAACCUGCCUGCCACAGCCGGAUAAUCGGGAGAAAUUCCGUCUAAUACGGCAUAAUGCAUCGACGGGACAUCCUGUUGGUGCCAAAGGUUGAUUCCGGUGGCGGAUGGGCAUGCGUCGCAUUAGUUAGUUGGCGGUGUAACGGACCACCAAGACGACGAUGCGUAGGGGUUCUGAGAGGAAGGUCCCCCACACUGGUACUGAGACACGGACCAGACUCCUACGGAAGGCAGCAG